Molecule: transfer RNA, 73 nt
Filed under: Stegodyphus mimosarum
Lineage: Eukaryota; Metazoa; Arthropoda; Arachnida; Araneae; Eresidae
Rfam family: tRNA
About the family: Transfer RNA (tRNA) molecules are approximately 80 nucleotides in length. Their secondary structure includes four short double-helical elements and three loops (D, anti-codon, and T loops).
Source: Rfam by way of RNAcentral
GCCUUCGUAGUGUAGUGGUCAGCACGCUUGACGCGUAACCGAGAGGUCCGUGGUUCAAUUCCCGGCGAAGGCG